Molecule: long non-coding RNA, 255 nt
Organism: Neofelis nebulosa (Clouded leopard)
Lineage: Eukaryota; Metazoa; Chordata; Mammalia; Carnivora; Felidae
Exons: 2
Source: RefSeq, a predicted model, not a curated record
AGGAUACUUUGCUUCCCUGUUUCAACUCUACACAGCAUCCAGGACCAUGUCUUAUACCUAUAUAGAAUCCUGAUUACCUCUACACACACAGGGUGAGGAUGGAAGAAAGUGUCCUUGUUGUACAUCUUGGAAAGGGAGAAGGGCUAGCUAGCCUCAUCAUAGCCACUUAGGACCCCCACCCAGCUGUCUCCAAGAAGUCCCAGGAACAGGCAUUGAGUCAGGAAACAAAAAUAAACAACACUUAUUGUGAAUUUA